Molecule: ribosomal RNA, 435 nt
Filed under: Escherichia coli
Lineage: Bacteria; Pseudomonadati; Pseudomonadota; Gammaproteobacteria; Enterobacterales; Enterobacteriaceae
Description: partial 23S ribosomal RNA
Rfam family: Bacterial large subunit ribosomal RNA
Source: RNAcentral
CGAAUGCUGACAUAAGUAACGAUAAAGCGGGUGAAAAGCCCGCUCGCCGGAAGACCAAGGGUUCCUGUCCAACGUUAAUCGGGGCAGGGUGAGUCGACCCCUAAGGCGAGGCCGAAAGGCGUAGUCGAUGGGAAACAGGUUAAUAUUCCUGUACUUGGUGUUACUGCGAAGGGGGGACGGAGAAGGCUAUGUUGGCCGGGCGACGGUUGUCCCGGUUUAAGCGUGUAGGCUGGUUUUCCAGGCAAAUCCGGAAAAUCAAGGCUGAGGCGUGAUGACGAGGCACUACGGUGCUGAAGCAACAAAUGCCCUGCUUCCAGGAAAAGCCUCUAAGCAUCAGGUAACAUCAAAUCGUACCCCAAACCGACACAGGUGGUCAGGUAGAGAAUACCAAGGCGCUUGAGAGAACUCGGGUGAAGGAACUAGGCAAAAUGGUGC